GAUAAUAAUGUUGUCUGUAUAUUUGAAGAUAAUGAGUCUGAGUCACCAUCAGCAGUGUUUCCUUGGAGCUGUUUUUCCCCAUCGUGAUGCCUCCCUUUGAGCUCCCGAGGCCGUGAUGAUCUGUAUCUAGAGAGAGUGCCACAUUCUAGUCUGCUUUCCUUCGUGCCCUGACUGAAACUAGAUACAAAAGCUGAUCUCACACCAGCCGUACAGAAUGAGAGCUGGCACACUUCUCUCCGAAUACUUUUCAUUUUGCAAGCCUGCAAGGAAGUAGCGAGUGUGCACACAGGUAAUUGCAUUAUCAGAGCAGCCGCGUCUGUGCCAAAAACCUCAGCUCUCUUAUCUGGCUCUAGUCAUCAUCGACUUUAAGACACCUGGCUGGGAAUAGUCCUACAGACUAUUGGAAGCAAAAACUAAUACAAAAUAAGAAGCACAACAAACAAAUAAAGCACUGUUCAGCGCUAUAAGAUACUAUGUCUUCAAACAUUCAGUAGCAACAAGUAAGUCCCACAAGAUGAGACAUGCAGAUGACCUGCAGAUGUAUGAGAAGAAUGCCCUGACCUUCCUAGCCAUCAGGGAAAUGCAGAUCAGAACCACAAAGAGAGAUCAUCUCGCUCUAGUAAGAAUGGCUCCUAGAAAAGUGACAAGAGGUGCUACUGGCAGGAAUGUCGGGGAAGUACAGGUGGUUUUGCAUUGUGAAGCAAAAUGGGUGUAAAAACACUGUCAAAUAGGAU
This is a long non-coding RNA of Fukomys damarensis (Damara mole-rat), 734 nucleotides long. RefSeq lists it as uncharacterized. Lineage: Eukaryota; Metazoa; Chordata; Mammalia; Rodentia; Bathyergidae. The transcript is spliced from 3 exons. The record is from RefSeq and is a predicted model, not a curated record.